CCUACGGGUGGCAGCAGUGAGGAAUAUUGGUCAAUGGGCGCGAGCCUGAACCAGCCAAGUAGCGUGAAGGAUGACUGCCCUACGGGUUGUAAACUUCUUUUAUAAAGGAAUAAAGUGAGGCACGUGUGCCUUUUUGUAUGUACUUUAUGAAUAAGGAUCGGCUAACUCCGUGCCAGCCGCCGCGGUAAUACGGAGGAUCCGAGGUUUAUCCGGAUUUAUUGGGUUUAUAGGGAGCGUAGAGGGGUUGUUAAGUCAGUUGUGAACGUUUUCGGCGCAACCGUAAAAGUGCAAUUGAUACUGGCAGUCUUGAGUACAGUUGAGGGAGGGGGAAUGCGUGGUGUAGCGGUGAAAUGCUUAGAUAUCACGAAGAACUCCGAUUGCGAAGGCAGCUUACUAAACUGCCACUGACAUUGAUGCUCGAAAGUGUGGGUAUCAAACAGGAUUAGAUACCCAAGUAGUC
Molecule: ribosomal RNA, 460 nt
Filed under: uncultured bacterium
Lineage: Bacteria
Description: partial 16S ribosomal RNA
Rfam family: Bacterial small subunit ribosomal RNA
Source: RNAcentral